Molecule: long non-coding RNA, 1246 nt
Filed under: Pan troglodytes (chimpanzee)
Lineage: Eukaryota; Metazoa; Chordata; Mammalia; Primates; Hominidae
Description: long non-coding RNA NONPTRT004044
Source: RNAcentral
CUUCCAGGAGGCAAGGGUAAAUUUUGGUGAAAAGAAGCAAAGCCUGAAUAGGGUUUUGGUGUAUGGAUGGGGCAUAGAGUGCUCAGAAUUUGAGGAAGGUGAAGGGCAGCCCAAGGUUUAUAAACUGAUUCUACACCAAAGGUACAAAACUGCUGUCAAGGAAAUCAGCUAGCAAGGAUUUAGGAAAACAUCUUAUUGUUGGGAUAUAGGCACAGAGUUAAGAACUGGUUGGGGUAAUACUAGACAGAUGAAAGAAUCACUUUCCAGCUGUUUGACCCAAAGACAAAUCACAUCGCCUCCCAAGGGAGGUGAAGUCACUUACCCAGAGGAACAACAUCCACUACGAUCGCCCUAAGAGAUACUGAGAAUAGUCUUGAGCAUGGCUAUCCAGGUGGUCAAGAAAGACAUCUGUAAGGGAGGUGAUAUUUAAGUUGAGACCCAAGAAGAGAAGGAGUAGCUGGCUGUAUGAAUAGCAUGUGCAAAGCCCUGCAGCAUGAAAGAGGUUGUGGUUGUAGAACAGAAACACUGCUGGGAUGAGGCAUCUCAGUAGCAAGCCGAGGAUAAGAGGGUCUUGAGAUGAGAGUGGGUACAGACCAGAUCAUGGAGAGAUUUACAAGUCACGGUUAAACAGUUUGGAUUUCAUUCCAAGUUUCUUAAAUGGCAUAUCGUCACAAGACCAGAAGAGACCUUUGGGACUCAUUCCAUCUGUCAGAAAAUAAUUUUCCAAGUUUAUUGUCAGAUGAAGAGUUAAAGAAUGCACCAAAAAAAGUGUUGUAAAAUCUCAAAAGAAUUUCUGGUCUUCUACGCAUAGCAGGUCAUAAAACCUCAUGGGAGAAAUGCCCUCCCUAUACCCAGAGGAAAGGAAUGUCUGCCUCACCGGGAACAGAGAGAAGCAGCAGAACAAACAGGCCUUGCUAAGUUCUCCCUAUUUUAUUACCAUUAAAUCAUACUGAUUUUUUCUCCAGUGAUAUUUCUCCAUUACAGUUUACCUCUUCAUCAAACCUAAGCAUAAAAAUACAUAAGUUUACCUGUUCCUUUGGGUCAUUUCCUUAUGAAGGCCCCCAUGUCAUAUAAAGCUUAUUAAAUACGUGUAUGUCUUUCUCCUGUUCAUCUGUCUUUGUCAGUUUUAUUUCCAGACCCAGCCAUGGACCCCAAAAUAGUUGAGGAAAAUCUUUUCUCCCCUACAGUUUCUGGCAACCAUGAAGAGACAGCUAAGACUACACUCAUUUCGGAGCAUGCAGAUAAA